Molecule: ribosomal RNA, 477 nt
Filed under: uncultured bacterium
Lineage: Bacteria
Description: partial 16S ribosomal RNA
Rfam family: Bacterial small subunit ribosomal RNA
Source: RNAcentral
GAUGAACGCUGGAGCGUGCUUAACACAUGCAAGUCGAACGAGAAGUGGAGACGGAAACCUUCGGGCGGAAGACUUUAUUUCGAGUGGCGGACGGGUGAGUAACGCGUGGGUAACCUGCCUCAUACAGGGGGAUAACAGUUGGAAACGACUGUUAAUACCGCAUAAGACCACAGCACCGCAUGGUGCGGGGGUAAAAACUCCGGUGGUAUGAGAUGGACCCGCGUUCGAUUAGCCAGUUGGCGGGGUAACGGCCCACCAAAGCGACGAUCGAUAGCCGAUCUGAGAGGAUGACCGGCCACAUUGGGACUGAGACGCGGCCCAAACUCCUACGGGAGGCAGCAGUGGGGAAUAUUGCACAAUGGGGGAAACCCUGAUGCAGCGACGCCGCGUGAGUGAAGAAGUAUUUCGGUAUGUAAAGCUCUAUCAGAAGGGAAGAAAAUGACGGUACCUGAGUAAGAAGCCCCGGCUAACUACGUG